GGAAUUUUGGACAAUGGGCGCAAGCCUGAUCCAGCCAUGCCGCGUGAGUGAAGAAGGCCUUCGGGUUGUAAAGCUCUUUCGGCGGGGACGAAACGGUCCGUGCUAACACCACGGACUAAUGACGGUACCCGCAGCAGAACCACCGGCUAACUACGUUCCAGCAGCCGCGGUAAUACGUAGGGUGCAGGCGUUAAUCGGAAUUACUGGGCGUAAAGCGCGCGUAGGCGGCUAAGUAAGCCGGUUGUGAAAGCCCCGGGCUCAACCUGGGAACGGCAUCCGGAACUGUUUAGCUAGAGUGCAGGAGAGGAAGGUAGAAUUCCCGGUGUAGCGGUGAAAUGCGUAGAGAUCGGGAGGAAUACCAGUGGCGAAGGCGGCCUUCUGGACUGACACUGACGCUGAGGUGCGAAAGCGUGGGUAGCA
RNAcentral lists this ribosomal RNA (420 nucleotides) under uncultured bacterium. RNAcentral's name for it is "bacterial SSU rRNA". It matches the Rfam family "Bacterial small subunit ribosomal RNA", at positions 358 to 770 of the family's 1533-position model. The record is from RNAcentral.